UACGUAGGGGGCAAGCGUUGUCCGGAUUUAUUGGGCGUAAAGCGCACGCAGGCGGUCUCUUAAGUUUUGAGUGACAGGUGGUGGCUCAACUACCACAGGCCUUGGAAAACUGGGAGACUUGAGGACUUCAGAGGGAUGCGGAAUUCCAGGUGGAGCGGUGAAAUGCGUAGAGAUCUGGAAGAACACCAAAGGCGAAGGCAGCAUUCUGGGAAGUAGCUGACGCUCAUGUGCGAAAGCUAGGGGAGCGAACGGG
This 253-nucleotide ribosomal RNA is filed under the name uncultured bacterium. RNAcentral's name for it is "partial 16S ribosomal RNA". It matches the Rfam family "Bacterial small subunit ribosomal RNA", at positions 524 to 776 of the family's 1533-position model. The record is from RNAcentral.